This 187-nucleotide ribosomal RNA is filed under the name uncultured rumen bacterium. Its description in RNAcentral is "partial 16S ribosomal RNA". It matches the Rfam family "Bacterial small subunit ribosomal RNA", at positions 340 to 524 of the family's 1533-position model. The record is from RNAcentral.
UACGGGAGGCAGCAGUGAGGAAUAUUGGUCAAUGGGCGAGAGCCUGAACCAGCCAAGUAGCGUGCAGGAUGACUGCCCUAUGGGUUGUAAACUGCUUUUAUGCGGGAAUAAAGUGGCGUACGUGUACGCUUUUGUAUGUACCGCAUGAAUAAGGACCGGCUAAUUCCGUGCCAGCAGCCGCGGUAAU